GGAGCUCCGCUCGCGGUACUCGCGGUCUGGAUCAUUUCGAAGCUGAAAGUGGAUAACGUGGGAUGUUGGGAUGACAAUGAGAACGAAUAUAUCUGGUGGAUUAUAAGAGGAGCCAUAUUGUUUGCAGUCUUGAUCAACUUUAUGAUAUUUCUGAACAUCAUCCGAAUUCUGGUGGAGAAACUGAAAUCGCAGGAUGCGGG
This is a long non-coding RNA of Callorhinchus milii (elephant shark), 200 nucleotides long. RefSeq lists it as uncharacterized. The transcript is spliced from 3 exons. The record is from RefSeq and is a predicted model, not a curated record. Lineage: Eukaryota; Metazoa; Chordata; Chondrichthyes; Chimaeriformes; Callorhinchidae.